This 253-nucleotide ribosomal RNA is filed under the name uncultured bacterium. RNAcentral's name for it is "partial 16S ribosomal RNA". It matches the Rfam family "Bacterial small subunit ribosomal RNA", at positions 524 to 776 of the family's 1533-position model. The record is from RNAcentral.
UACGUAGGGUGCAAGCGUUGUCCGGAAUUAUUGGGCGUAAAGAGCUCGUAGGCGGUCUGUCGCGUCUGCUGUGAAAACCUGGGGCUUAACCCCGGGCCUGCAGUGGGUACGGGCAGACUAGAGUGCGGUAGGGGAGACUGGAAUUCCUGGUGUAGCGGUGAAAUGCGCAGAUAUCGGGAGGAACACCUAUGGCGAAGGCGGCUCUCUGGGCCUUACCUGACGCUGAGACGCGAAAGCGUGGGGAGCGAACCGG